AGUGAACGCUGGCGGCGUGCUUAACACAUGCAAGUCGAACGAGAACGGAUUAUAGCUUGCUAUAAUUGUCAGCUAAGUGGCGCACGGGUGAGUAAUGUAUAGGUAAUAUGCCUCUUACUAAGGGAUAACAAUUGGAAACGAUUGCUAAUACCUUAUAUUCCUUUUUAUCAAAAGAUAAAAAGGGAAAGAUUUAUUGGUAAGAGAUUAGCCUGUAUUGUAUCAGUUAGUUGGUGGGGUAAUGGCCUACCAAGACGAUGACGCAUAACUGGUUUGAGAGGAUGAUCAGUCACACGGGAACUGAGACACGGUCCAGACUCCUACGGGAGGCAGCAGUGGGGAAUAUUGCACAAUGGACGAAAGUCUGAUGCAGCAACGCCGCGUGGAGGAUGACACAUUUCGGUGCGUAAACUCCUUUUAUAUAAGAAGAUAAUGACGGUAUUAUAUGAAUAAGCACCGGCUAACUCCGUGCCAGCAGCCGCAGUAA
RNAcentral lists this ribosomal RNA (484 nucleotides) under uncultured bacterium. RNAcentral's name for it is "partial 16S ribosomal RNA". It matches the Rfam family "Bacterial small subunit ribosomal RNA", at positions 29 to 523 of the family's 1533-position model. The record is from RNAcentral.